AUACGGGGGGUGCAAGCGUUAUUCGGAUUUAUUGGGCGUAAAGAGCGCGUAGGCGGCUUGGUAAGUCAGAUGUGAAAGCCCGGGGCUCAACCCCGGAAGUGCAUUUGAAACUAUCAGGCUUGAGUAUGGGAGAGGGAAGUGGAAUUCCUGGUGUAGAGGUGAAAUUCGUAGAUAUCAGGAGGAACACCGGUGGCGAAGGCGACUUCCUGGACCAAUACUGACGCUGAGGCGCGAAGGCGUGGGGAGCAAACAGGAUUAGAUACCCCAGUAGUCC
RNAcentral lists this ribosomal RNA (274 nucleotides) under uncultured bacterium. RNAcentral describes it as "partial 16S ribosomal RNA". It matches the Rfam family "Bacterial small subunit ribosomal RNA", at positions 523 to 796 of the family's 1533-position model. The record is from RNAcentral.